Mytilus californianus (California mussel) is the source of this 704-nucleotide long non-coding RNA. RefSeq lists it as uncharacterized. The record is from RefSeq and is a predicted model, not a curated record. Lineage: Eukaryota; Metazoa; Mollusca; Bivalvia; Mytilida; Mytilidae. The transcript is spliced from 2 exons.
UUUUUCUAUAUAUUAACAGGAUGUAACAUAAAUUGAAAACUACUGCGACAUUUAUUAUGCAAUAAUAUAUAUUAAAAACAACGUUUGCGUAUGUGAAAUGGACGUAAAUUAAUUGUAGAGCUACAAAAGGGUUUUAAUAUACGAUGAUCAAGGAAACUCCAAUGACAGACUCCAUCUAGACCAUUGUUUAUCGCUAGAUUCAGGACGAUUAGCGAGUUCGACAUAUUUUUCGUUAUAGACAAAUGUCUGUUAUUGAUUGAAGACUGUACUGCCUUCUAUAGUUGCAUUUUUGGUAAAUUUUGCGAGAUGAGAAAGACUCGUCGAAAAGUUGUAUCUUUUUUUGUCGUAUUUGUGCUGUUGUGUUUUAUAUGGAGAAAUAUUUUCAAUCGAAAAGAGUUGAUAAUCCAGGCCGUACAAACUGAGAAGAGAACCUUGACAGAUGGUGGUUGCAUCGUCUCCGAAGGCCAUCUUUGGACAAAUAACUCAUGCUCGUGUUAUCCUAACACCUUCUGUUGUGUUUCAGGACAACUUCAUUUUUUUUAUGACGCGGCGUGUGAUGGAACAGGAUAAUGAUUGGUCGGUGAAAAGGGGGGUUGGGGGUGUGGGCAAGUAGGAGGAUUUUUUUCAGAAUUGAUAAUUUAUGUCCAUCUGUUGCUAUGCAUGCUGUUUUAUUAAUUUGAGUACAAUAAAAACUGAGUAAAAUA